UACAGAGGUCCCUAGCGUCGUUCGGAUUUACUGGGCGUAAAGGGCGCGUAGGCGGCCAGGCGUGUCGGAUGUGAAAUCCCCGGGCUCAACCCGGAAAGUGCGUCCGAAACUGCCCGGCUCGAGUGCGGGAGGGGGAGUCGGAAUGCAGGGUGUAGCGGUGAAAUGCGUUGAUAUCCUGCAGAACACCGGAGGCGAAGGCGAACUCCUGGAACGCAACUGACGCUGAGGCGCGAAAGUCGGGGGAGCAAAC
Molecule: ribosomal RNA, 250 nt
Filed under: uncultured prokaryote
Description: partial 16S ribosomal RNA
Rfam family: Bacterial small subunit ribosomal RNA
Source: RNAcentral